UGAAAUUUUCUUAUUAGGAUAUAUAUCUGAUUGCCUAAUCGGAAAUUUGACAUAGAAGAUGACUAGAUGGAACAAAGAAUAGCAGUGAAGUUUCUGAUAAAUGUAGUAAAAAAUGAUACUUUGUGCAACAAAACUUUCUAUAUGAUUUGUAGUUUGUGCUUGGGAUUUGAAAGUUUAUUCCAAGGACUUGCUCACUUAAUUAGCCC
RNAcentral lists this long non-coding RNA (206 nucleotides) under Lupinus angustifolius (narrow-leaved blue lupine). Its description in RNAcentral is "long non-coding RNA (LANG_LNC002856)". The record is from RNAcentral. Lineage: Eukaryota; Viridiplantae; Streptophyta; Magnoliopsida; Fabales; Fabaceae.